This 14310-nucleotide long non-coding RNA is filed under the name Podarcis lilfordi (Lilford's wall lizard). Lineage: Eukaryota; Metazoa; Chordata; Lepidosauria; Squamata; Lacertidae. The record is from RNAcentral.
CGGGAGACGCCGCGGUUGCUAAGCCCCGGCCCGUGAGCGGCCGGCUUUCGCGGAGCCGCCCCUUCCAGGAGGAGCUUCCAGAGUCUAGUGGGGCAAAGCAAGGGCGGAAAAAUGGAGCCUAGUUCAAAGGGCGGCGCGCUUUGCUUCUCUGGACAAGCGCCAACUUUGGGUUCGAGGCGUGUGAGUUCAAUCUAGAGUAGAGUCUCCUCAUCCCCCCCCUCCCCGUGAACGUGUGAGCGCGGAUCGCGUGCACAGUGCAUUUCCGUAUCUACACCUGAGAGAAGGAGCUGCGUGUGGGACUUUCCAGGCAGGUGGGAGCCCUUCUUUGCGCUGUGCCUAUAUUUAUUUAUAUGUGCUCCUUACUAAAGCUUGUCAUAUGCUGCGGCUUCCCAAUGAACGAAAAUCUCAUACCGUCCAACAUUUCUCCAAUGAAAAUAGAGCCAUCCUAUCUAAUAGUAGUAGUAGUAGUCGUACCCCGUCCAUCUGACUGGGUUGCCCCAGCAACUCCGGGCUGCUUCCAACAUAAAUAAAAACAUAAUAAAACAUUAAGCAUUUUUUAAAAAAACAACAGCCAUUCCCUAUACCGGGCUGUCUUCAGAUGGCUCAGGGGUCAGAUAACUCCAUACCCUCCAACAUUUCUCCGAUGAAAAUAGGGUCGUCCUAAGGAAAAGUGGGACAUUCUGAGAUCAAAUAAGAAAUUGGGAUGGCUUCUGUAAAUCCAGGACUGUCCCUGGAAAAUAGGGACACAUGGAGGGUCUGAUAUCUGCAUGUUUUUGUAGAUGCUGGAAGGCGCCCAGAGUGGCUUGGGCAACCCAGUCAGAUAGGCAGGGUAGAAAUAAUAAAAAUUGUUUAUUUGUUUAUUUUAUUUUAUUUGUUUAUUUUUAUUAUUAUUAUAUUCAAAUAUCUCUACAGGCAAGACAGAUGCUCCACCGCUGAGUUACUAGCCUUCCCAGAUAUCAAUAGGAAAUCAUAGAAUGUGUGCUAUAUAUAUUUCUUAGAAUCACAGGGUCAUAAAGCCACUAAUCACAGAACUGUAAGCAAAAUGCAGUGGAUCCCAUAUAGUGUACAGUAUAUCCAAAGUAUCACAAGGUUCCCCAACCUUCUUGAAAAGCACAGAGGUGAAGAACACGUGACUGCAAGGAUCCGACUGGAAUAUUACUCUGCUAGUAAUAUGCAGCUAGAUCCUACUCAAAGUAGGCGUGAUUAAAAGCCAUUCAGUUCAAAAGAAGUGAACGUGCAGAACUCUGCAUUGAGCUGUGCAGUUACUGUGUGAGGAACCUUUGGCCUGCCAGAUGUUGCUGAACUACAACUCCCAUCUGCCCCAGCAAGCAUGGCCUGUGACCAGGGAGGAUGGGAGUUGUAGUUCAACAACAUGGUGGACAUGUCAAAGGUUCCCCACUCCUGCUGUAUACGGUAUAUAAUAUGGGGAAGAAACUAGGCUUAAUUCGUGUAUCUAUUGACCCGGGGGCAGUGUUACAGAGUGGGAUAUGAAAGCUAGGAGCUAAAUGGCACCUUAAAUCUAGGUUAUGGGCGCAACAACGGAAUGUCUAAGCACACUUUUUAAAUAACAAGAAUACAAAGCUGAAAAUGAAUGAUCUGCAGCUAAUUUUUCACAUAGUCUAGUCCUCAUCUGAAGACUGCAAAAAACAACAACACAAAGCCAUACUUCCUCUGCCUGCCCCCCUAAUAUUUUUAAGAGAGUCUCUUCUCCAGUCUUCAGAGAGUGACUGGAAGGGGGGAGGCAGAAAAAGGUCCUCCUUUCCUUCCACUGCAGUUUUAAUCUGAAAUCUUGGGUGCAGUACCACUGAGGUGGGAAGGUAAACGGCGUUUCCAUGCACUCUGGUUUCCGUCAGUGUUCUGUUGCACCAGAAGCGGUUUAGUCAUGCUGGCCACAUGACCCAGAAAGCUGUCUAUAGACAAACGUCGGCUCCCUCGGCCUGAAAGCGAGAUGAGCAUUGUACCCCAUAGUCACCUUUGACUGGACUUAACCGUCCAGUGUUCUUUUACCCUUACCUUUACUUUACUGCACCCAGAGCUCAGAAACUGCUCACGCUAAUAAAAUUCCUUGUCACAAAACGCGCCUAGAACAAUAGAGUUUCGAACUCUGCCUGGGAGUAAACCAGCAUAGACUCAAUGGUACUUAUAGCUGAGAGGUCAUAUAAAAGAUGAUGGUAAUGAUGAUGAUUUAUUAAAUUUGUAUACUGCCCCAUACCUAUAGAUCUCAGGGCACUUCACAACAUAAAAUGGCAAUUUAAACAACACAAAGUACAUAAUAAGUUAAUCCCUUUGUAGCUGUAUUUUUGUCUUCCUUGCAUUAGGGCUAUUGAUAAACUCAACACUUCAGGGUGGACAAAUUUAAAACGGAUAAAGGGAGGGGGCAAAGGUGGGAAAUAAUAUACAGCAGUUCAGUGACAAGAUGUAGGGGUGGUUGACAAUUUGGACUUCGACGGUGGUUUUCCAGUAACCUCAGCAAUUUUUAAAUAGCUGUAAAAUAAAAUGGCUUCCUCCUGACAGUCUAACCUUUUUCUGAUUCUUCAUGGCAGGUGUUAGAGAGCGAAAUUGGCUUUUGACAACUUAGGGCCCUGAUCUAAGGCAAUGGUGACAGGCAGGCUUGCAGGGAAAGGGAAUAGACCAGUGUUGUAGAAAACAAUUGGGGUUGGCUUUUACAGCCCAACUUCCCAUCAAGAAACUCUGUAUCCCCCUACAUCCAUUAUCUGUCAGAGAAGAAUGGAUGGAGGCAAGAUCCAGAGAAAGCAAGGCAGAUCUUUAUUUUUUUCUGUUGCAACCGAAUUUUUACAGUUCAGUAAAUACCAUCAGCAGUGAAAUUACUUGCCCUAUCCACACGCUUAAUAAAUAGCUUGCUAAAAUGGCUUUUUUUCUGUAGGAGGCACCUUACAUAAUCAGAGCAGUUUGUUUUAAGUAAGAACCUACUAAUAAACAAUGUCAUUGCUCUGUGCCAUAAGAAACAACCCUGGGGACAGAAGGAGACUCUGCUUUUUUAUAAAUAAAUAAAUAAAUUGCAAAUUGCACAGAUAGAUAGCAUCUUGUCAGCCCACCAGUUAAUUAUGGUACAGUAAAAACAGCAGAGCAAAAUAUAGCUCAAUUCCAUUGUAAAUGGAAUCAGCCAAGUGCAAAAAAACAACACAUUUAACUUUCAGGAAACCUAAGAUGAAUGAGCUUCAUCCAGGAUCUCAGAAUGCAAAAAAGACAGAAAAAGAUUUUUAGACAUUCUAAUUAGGGGAGUUAUUUCCCCCUGAUUGACUAGGAAGUUUUGCCCCUUCUUGUGUACCAUUUGGCUUGCCUUAUUUGCAUGAAAGACCAUUUGCUCAGCCCCAGGCACAUCUCACAUGAAGACCUUUUUCAUUCCACUUCUGUACAGUCUAGAUGAUGUAAUGCAUAGCAGAAAAGUAAAGCUGUGUGGCUGGCGAGUCCUGUUUUAGGACAUUACUUAUACUGACCUUUCGCUGCACUCCCUUGAGAUUUCCACAUCAUUUCCCUCCUUUAAUAAAUCAAUGCAAGACUAAACUAAGCCCGGAAUCCUAUGCAGAUGUAGUUAGGAGGGUGGCCAAUUUAAUGCAAUAUGUGUCUCAGCACAUAUUCAAAGGCUUGAGCUCCAUGCAAACUAAACCGUCCCAUGAACAGUUAGUCCCAGAAGGGAAGCUUCCACUGCCGGUAUCAAUCCUUCAUGAUACACAGUCCUGGUCCUGGUCCUCCCCACCACUGAGGGAGUUUUCUUAAAAGCGACUUUAAGAAGUACAUUUUGAAUCACAUCUAAUUCUCGGUUAUUGUCAGGCUUCGGAGAAUUGGCUUCCGCCCCCCUGGCCGUAAAUGAGCAGAUCAAACAAAGGGGAAUUCUUACCAGAUAGUUUCUUUAAUAAACAUAAAAAGGUAAAGGUAAAGGAACCCCUGACCAUUAGUUCCAGUUGCGGACGACUCUGGGGUUGCGCGCUUAUCUCGCUUUAUUGGCCAAGGGAGCCGGCGUACAGCUUCCGGGUCAUGUGGCCAGCAUAACUAAUCUGCUUCUGGUUAACCAGAGCAGCGGUGCCUAUUUAUCUACUUGCACUUUGACGUGCUUUCGAACUGCUAGGUUGGCAGGAGCAGGGACCGAGCAACAGGAGCUCAACCCGUCACGGGGAUUCGAACCGCGACCUUCGAUCAGCAAGCCCUCGGCUCUGUAGUUUAACCCACAGCAUAGUGAAGGACAAAAGAACGCAUCUAACAAGAAUGGCAGUGCUCCCAAUUAAGGUCACUCCCCCUUCCGUCCCUAUUAAUCCAUGUCACUCCUAUGUUUUGUAAUCUGAGUUUGUAGUCUCUGUGCUUUCUGUUCUGACACUUUCUGAGCUCUCCGAGACUUUGGGGAAGGGGGGUGGAUACUAUCCAGAGACUGUGAAUCUGUUAACUCUCUCUCUUCUAGUGUCUCUUCUGCUAACUGUUCCCCACCUAGUAUUUCCCAGCUUCUGCCUUCCGAACUAUGACCCUCUGCAAACCACUGUUCCAAAUCUAUACUGUCCUCCUGCUCCUGGGAAGAUUCAGGAUCAGGAGGAGGGCGUGGCUCCCACCAUUCUUCCUCCGUGCAGCCCUCCUCAGCAUGGUCCCUGACAGUUAACAAAAAUGUAGAAUGCUUAAUGCAGGGCCAAAUAAUGGCUUCCAAAACCAUUACAAAACUAACUGAAUUAAUUGAGAAUAACAAAUCCACAGGGAAUACGACCUUUUUCUGAGAAACAGCCACAUGGUUUCUGUUGAAGUGCCAGCUCAUCAAAUAGCCAAAAGUAAAUCUUCUUAUAUAGUUCAAAUAUGUUUGGUGUUUUUAGCUGGCAGCUAUGUUUAUCCUUCUCUUUCCCCAUAUAUUUUUCAGACUAGUGUGUUUAAAGAUUACCCUGGACAUGAAAAGUCUUCCUUGAUUACACAAACGUUCCCCAGAGGCGAAGAAAAUGCAUAUAAUUCUCAGCCAUAACAUAUUUUCCCAUUAUAUCAUUUUUAAAAGCAAGAACUGAAUGUUCUGUAGAUGUAAAAUUAGCUCUGCAGCAUAGCCUGUAAUAGAAAAUGAAAUUAGUUUCAGACAUUUUUAUAGUCUUGAGAGUUAACUACCAUAAACUAUAAGCAAGUUAAAGUUCUCCGAGAAGAUGAAUUAAAAUUCUUUACUAAGUAUUUGUCAUUUACUGUCAAAAAAUUAUUUUUUUAAAUUUGCUGGGAAACCUACAGGUAGACUCUAGGUGUCAGGGAUAUGAUGAAGCACACAUCCCCAGCAAUGUGUCAUUGCUGCCCUUGGCAGAGCUAGUCGUCCCUGCCCUAAGGCAGAGCAGAUAUUUGACUUCCACAACUACAAUUCCUGUCAUCCCCGACCAUUUGCCAUGCUGGCCAGGGCUAGUGUAAGUGGAAUCUUGGGGAGAACGGCUGUAGUUCAGCGAUAGGUCAUCUGCUUUGCAUGCAGAUGGUCCCAGUUUCAAAGCCCGGCAUCUAUAGUCAGGGCUAGGAAAGACUCCUUAUCUAUGUUGGUUUUAUUUGGUGUAAAGAAAACUAGGUAAAUAUAAGGAGAAUUCCCUGGAUGCCCAAGAUCCAGGUUUGGGGCAAGUACUCUUUGGUGAGAGAACCCUAGCAGAGAUUGAAAAUCACAAAAUAUACAGCAAAGUAAAGUGUUAGACUUUUAAAACACCCUUUCUAAGUUCCUUCCAAAGUUCCCCUCUUCCCUUAGCACAGAAAAAGACCACACAUUUGGGUAAGUUAAAAAUGGUUUACUUACAAACUUUUAAAGGUCAGAUCCAUGUGCUUUUCCAUACAUCAGUCAGAAUACAAAAGCAGUAAAACUUAGGCUCCAAAGUGGUGAACAUUCUUAAAUUAUUUGUAUAGAAACACAAACACAGUCAAACCUCAGUUGUCAAACGAAAUCCGUUCGGGAAGACUGUUUGACUUCCGAAACGUUCGACAACCGAGGCGCAGCUUCUGAUUGGUUGCAAGAGCUUCUUGCACUCAAGCGGAAGCUGCAUCAGACGUCCGAGUUCUGAAAAACUUUCGGAAACCGGAACAUUUACUUCCGGGUUUUUGGCAUUUGGGAGUCGAAACGUUCAAAAAUGGAACCAUUGGAGAACCGAGGUUUGACUGUGUGGCUUGCUUAAGCCAUACAGUCUGAGCUUGCAGCAGCCAGCUCAGAUCUCUUUACUCCUUGGUGCUCACAUGGUGGAACAGGAAGAACAAAGUUUGAUGACACUUCCUCCCAAGCUGAUGGGGGCGUGACCUAGCUAAACCUGGCAGAACAGCUCACUCUAUGGUCUUAACCCCCUCAUGCAUUAAAAUAGAGUUAAGAAUGUUGGUUAUAUGAAGCUGAUUUCCCCACAAUCUGAAGCCCUGGAGAGCCGCUGCAGUCAGUGUUGACAAUACAGAGUUAGAUGGACCAGUGGUCUGUAUUCGGCUGCCAGCACAGCUAGGCCUGUGCAAAUUUUUCACCGGGUUUCAAAGAUGGGAUGCCACAAGAAUAGAAAAUGCCCUAUCUCAAAUUAUCGCUGCUGAUACUAGGAGAAUGGACCUCUGAGGAUGAUCUUAAUAGCUGGGCAGGUUUGUGCAAGAGCAGAUGGCCUUUUAAUGACCCAGAUUACAAGCCAUUUGGAGCUAUGAAGGUGACUCUGCUUGGUAAUGGGACACCCAAAGCUGUUGCAUUUUUAGAUCCCUCCCCCUCCAACCCAGCCUGUACCAGAGUCUGUCUCUGUGUAAUAUAUAACAGAGUCAUCUUAGCACAGCUAAGCAAAUCAGUGGGGCCAAAAAUAAAUAAAUAACAGCCUCCAUUCAAGCCCAAACAAAUAGAAUCUAACUUCGUUAUUAGUUGCAGUUCCAUCUUUUUCAUGCUGAGGACUUAGCUACGCUAAUGUGAUUGUUUUAUUACCAGUUACUGUAAGCGCGAAUGGUUAUUGGGUUCCUUUAUGGCUUUAUUUUAUUAUUAUUUAUUAGUUUUCUAUACCACCCUUCAUCAUAAGAUCUGAGGACAAUUCACAGAGUAAAAUACAGGAUAAAAAUGUGAAAAUAAGUAAAACAGCAAAACAAUAACCCCCUCCCUAUAGACACAUGUAGAAUAUUAAUCAACCCAAGGCCUGGUUGAAAAAGGAACAUUUUAGCCUGGUGCCUGAAAAUACAUAAUGAAGGUGCCAGGCAAACCUCCCUGGGGUGAGCAUUCUGUAAAUCCAGAAUGUGUCAGUCAAAACGGGGUAGUUGUGGGGUAUGGUGUGGUGUCAUGAUCAAGGGAAAUACAAUUCUAUGAUUCUAUGAGCAGAGGUGAGGAGAGAAAGUGAUGGUGAAGUAAUCAGAACAGGAACCGUAGGGGACUGCGUUAUAUUGAGUCAGUCUCUUGGUCCAAAGUGGGAUACAAUUGCUGUAAACGUAUGGUGUGGAUGUAGUGUUAAUGUGACAAAAAAGACAAGCCUAUUUAAUGUUAGCUAGCACUGCAGCCUCAUUGUGAGCAAACACUGACCUCUGUUCCAGUCCUGAAAUGCCUUGGGCUGGGGAGAGAUUUGACCGCACUGACCGAUUCCAUUGACUGUAGCAGGAAUGUUCACUGUUCACUGUAAUUUACCAAGGGCUCACUGCAAAAUUGUCCUCCCGCAGUUUAGCCCUUAGAUAUCAACAGAAAGCCAUGAUCAACAGCAGCAGGUAUACCAUUUUAGCAUAUUACACUGGCUGCAAUACUUGGACCCAAGUUUAACAGCUAAUUGAAGAUUGCAGAACUGACACUAUCUGUGAAAGCUAAGCAAAUAAAAGAGACGGCAACAGUAGCUGUUAUCCAUCAGUUUUAUUUAUUUUUAGAUUUUUUAGACUGGUACUGAAAGUUUUCAAUAUAUUUCGAAAGCAGGGUCAAUUCAGCUCUGAACUGCUUGAGACAGAAUAAAUAUGGAUGUCUACAAUGUUAUUCCAAAGUAGAACUGCGUUUUAAUGCAGUAAUAAUUCAUGCCAAGUGUUCCAGGCCUCAAGCCAAGAAAAGUGCCAUUAAAACAAACAAACACUUAAGAUUUUGUAUCUAGCACAUUCCUAUUGGGGUUCUUUCACUGCACGUACUCACUUGUACAUAACAUAUGUUAUACGUUACAGUUGUAAUAAUUCCAUACAAUUACUGAGAAAUCUACUUUUAGAGCAUUCACAGAUACAAAUAUUUUGUAGCAUUUCCCACCCUGCGGCACAACGAUUCCUGUAUAGGCAGUUUUGCUGACAUAGUCUUGCUGCUGUUAAGUUGUCAGAUCAUGACUGUUUUAGCAUCAGACCUUAGAAAGAUGUGUCCUAAUCAAUGCACUGUAGAACAAGAUUUUUAUAAUAGUAUAGUUCAGGAUAUUAAUACUUGCAUAGCUUUUUCUCUGCAAUUCACAUGCAUUUGUAGUGAUUCUUUAUAUAUAGUAUAGCACCUCAUUGACAAGGUUAUGUACACAACGCUGGUUCACAUGCCACAUUAAACCAUAGCUAAAAUAGACUAUAGGGACGCAGGUGGCGCUGUGGGUUAAACCACAGAGCCUAGGACUUGCCGAUCAGAAGGUUGGCGGUUCAAAUCCCCGCAACGGGGUGAGCUCCCGUUGCUCAUUCCCUGCUCCUGCCAACCUAGCAGUUCAAAAGCACGUUAAAGUGCAAGUAGAUAAAUAGGUACCGCUCCGGCGGGAAGGUAAACAGCGUUUCCGUGUGCUGCUCUGGUUUGCCAGAAGCAGCUUAGUCAUUCUGGCCACACGACCCGGAAGCUGUACACCGGCUCCUUCGGCCAAUAAAGCGAGAUGAGCACCGCAUCCCCAGAGUCGGUCAUGACUGGACCUAAUGGUCAGGGGUCCCUUUACCUUAAAAUAGACUAUGGUCUAGUGUGAAUAAGCAGCAUGCUGGUACACACUGGUCAAAAGUUUGUAAUGUGCUCAUCUCCCACUCCUGCUGCACCAGAAAGGAAACAAGCCAUCCAAACUCAACCACAUUUGAAUUGAAGCUCAUAGUUUGUUUUUCUCCAAAAAACAAACAAACCCACAAGCACAAACUAAGGAUUGUUUGGGGAAAAUAAACCCUGAGUCCAGGUUCAGAUAACACAAGAAACUAGAUUAAAGACCUGUUUUCUGGUGAGGUGGCAGCAAGUGGAGUGAGGAUUAAAUUGAAAAGAUUGAAGCAGUAUGUACGAGCACGUCACACGGUCACAUAAAGCCAUAAAUUACAUUAACUGUAGUAACUUUAAUGUGCCAUGCUAGCUGAGCCACUAUCCAUUAUAAUUGAUACUUCAAUAUAAAUACUCUACUGCAUAUAUGAAUACCUCAUAAACCAAAUAUAUGUUUUAAUAUUCCUACGCAAUACAUUUCAAUACAAUUUCCAAAAGAAAGAAGAAAAAUUAAUUGUUCCUGUCUUCUAUAGUCCUUUCUCCAACAUGAUCACAGUAAAGAUCAUCAGUGUUACUAAUCAGGCAUUGAUAAAUAUUAUAAGAUAGCUACUUCCUCUAUGUAAUGUCGAGUGGCUUGUAUUUUUACUUCUUGGGACCUUUAUUCAACACAAGAGCAAACAGGUCCUCCUCUUUUUCAUAUUGAUGACUUACUAUAUUCUCAAUUAAUGCUGAAACAUGAGGUUGUUGGCUGAUUCCUCCUCUUUUCUGCAGACAUUCUGUUUCUCCUUGUCCUUCAUGCCCAUUCAGCCCGUGUGAGUUCUCUGGUGUGUUAGGGGCAUGUCAAGUGAUUACUGUGCAGGCCAAUUCAUUGCCUACUCCUUCCCUAGAUUCCUCCCUACACUUUCGAUCUCAUUUUCACAGCCAUCAGGGUCAAAACUUUGUAGCUUUUAAAUUUCAAAGCUGGGGUAUUAAGGGGUUUUGUGUCUAAUUCUGAGUUCUGCCUCUGUAUAGUACAAUUUCAGAAGCAUGGAGUACCUUCAGCUAUGCUCUAUGAUACGCCCCUGAAAGCGUAUCCUGAGCAAUGUUGAUAAUGGAGGUCCCUGGAACAAAAGGGGGGGGGCUGUAAACAGAGCCCAUGCUGUGUGUGUUCCAACUUUGUAUGAUUUCCAACAGUUACCCUUUCACUGCAAGUAUUUGGUUUUAUUUAAAGCCUGAGAGCACGUCCUGAUCACACAUUGCAAUCCUCAAAUGCCAUACCUUGGGAACAAAAGGGACCUGUAUAAUUAUCAUUCUAUUAAAUAUGCCCAAUUAUCUUAGCAAUGACUCCUGUUCUUUCCAACCUUCGCAACUCAUUCAUCACAACCUGCUGUGGCUGUUUUAUAUUAAUUAAGCUUCUAUAAUGAUGGGAAAUUAUAUCAUGUUGCAGUCGACGGUUCAUGCAUUAGGGCCGUGCAUUCGUUCAUGUUAAAUGAGCUGCAGAAUAAUUACUAUGCCAAGGAAUAGUACGGUACUGUCUGUAACUCCAGUCAUUUGUCAUCAUAAGUGUGGCCCUGCAACAAACUACUGCAGCGUAGGGUGCUUCUCCGGUUCAGGUUUCCAGCCACGCCAUCUAUUCCCCUCUCCCUCUUGUUUUUCACUCUUCACUCCAACUCUCAACAGUCAGUCAGUAUCCCAUGGGCUCUGAACAAUCUCAGUCUUCAUUUAUAUAUCAAUCAAUCAGUUUAUUGUUCUAGCCAAAAGCCAUGACAAAGUCAGUUAUAAUAACAAUAAUAAUAAAAUAAUACAGAACAUACACCCGUAAUAUGAGCCUACACUCAAGUUGUAAGAGAUAGAAGAUACCAGAGACACCAACAAGCUUAAACCUAGCUUGAUUUCAAAAUAAACCUCUGAAUCUCCAAAACAGCUUAUAUAGCAACGUUAUCAAACUCAGUUUUCCUUAUUUAUUUUUUGCAACUCGUGCAUAAAGGGCCACUUUGUGUUAUGAAAGGGCCACGUUGUGUUAUGAAGCUAUUAUUAUCAUACAAAAUAAACUGAAUAGAUAAAUAAAUUGAAUAAAUAAAAUAUCUGCUGGAAUGUACCUGCUUUCUUGUGUGAACUAUGGUUUCAGAAACAGAUCUUUUGGGUCUCCCUAUUCAAAAGCACAUCAAAGUACAAGUAGAUAAAUAGGUACUGCUCCGGCGGGAAGGUAAACGGUGUUUCCGUGUGCUGCUCUGGUUCGCCAGAAGCGGCUUAGUCAUGCUGGCCACAUGACCCGGAAGCUGUACGCCGGCUCCCUCGGCCAAUAAAGCGAGAUGAGUGCCACAACCCCGGAGUCGGUCACGACUGGACCUAAUGCUCAGGGGUCCCUUUACCUUUACCUAUAAGGGGCAAGCUAACAGGUAACGAGUGAUGUCUUCCACCUGAGGUUGACCACAAAUACAAAGUACAGGACCUUGUUGUAGCAGCCAACCAAAACAGCAGAGGACAUCACUUGGAGAUGCAGCUCAGUAAAGGCAUUUUCUUUCGGAAACUGGCAAGAGUUUGGUCAGAUAACUAGUUCUAAAAUGCACUGUUUUCAGGAGUGGGUACCAAGGGGGAAAUGUGGUGUUCCUAAUUAAUUGCAGAUCCCUUCUGGAUUUUAUGCAGAUGGUAAGUAGGUAGGUAGAUGAUGAUAUAGAUAGAUAGAUAGAUAGAUAGAUAGAUAGAUAGAUAGAUAGAUAGAUAGAUAAGUACUUGGGGUUAAGCACCUAAAGACUCAGGAGAUCAGUAUUAGCAUACAGUAUGUUUCCAGCAUAUCACUGUUGCAUCAUUUGUAAACACAAUGUGACUUCAUGCUGGUCACCUCAUGUAUAACCCUGGGUUACAUCAUUCCUUCUAAAGCAAACUGGAGAGGCUCUUGCCAAAACACGUGCUCCAGCAAAUGCCUUAGAGUUGAAUGUUGAAACUCCAAUUGUGUAGCACCUUCCUUUGUGAGUAGUCAACUCCAGGGCACUGUUUGCUCAAUGAAUCACACCCCUCAGCAGAAUUUGUGGCAUUUUAAACCUCCCACAGAGCUUGCAGGCAAGGACGGAGACAUUUUCCAAUGGAAACGCAAGGCAUUGCAUAGAUUUACAGGAAAUGCGGCUGGAGAUAAAGUGGCUGGGGGGGGUAGCAAACUGAAUAUUAAUCUACAGUGGUACCUUUGGUUGCGAAUGGGAUCCAUUCCGGAGGCCCGUUCACAACAUAAAAAGAGCACAACCUGCAGUGAUGCGUCUGCGCACACGCGCAUUGCGAUUCGCCGCUUCUGUGCUUGUGCCAAAAAGAUAAUAGAGACAAGGCCUGUCUGAUAUGGAGUGGGAGGGAGCCACUGCACUCAAGGGCCAGAAUCGUAUAGAAUGGACCUCCUGUUAAGAUGGUAUCUGCAGGAAGCCUUCUCCUGCAAAUUGCUGUUAUCAGCUGGGUAUAUAAUGUACUUUAAAUGCAAAGUGUCUCCCACAUAGUUAUACCCCGCAACAUUUCUAAUAUGGACAUUGUGUCAGUCAUCAGGAAAAUGGAUCCCCACCACCACAGCCAGCUGCCAGGGAUAGAAAGACAGGGAAACCUCUUACCAAAGUCUUUUAUUCAAUAUUCACAGAAAGAGACUUAGAAAGGUAGCCUCUUGAAAUAAUGGUGUUGCUCCAAGUAAUCUCCACCCCCCCUUCCCUUCUCAGUCGCCAAUAGCACCACCACCCUUACGGCAGCUGCUUAAGGCCAUUUGCCUCUUAGCUCUUUGCUCUCCUACUUUCACUGCUUGCCGGGUUCUGGGAGAAGGGGGGUCUGGAAUGUUUUCUGGUGAUGACGUGUCAGCCAGCUGCUCCAGCUCUGCUUUUCCCUGCUCCUCCCAUUAUUCCUCAGCUUUGCCCCUCUUCUGUCUCUGAGUCAUGACCUCUCCCCCUCCCCACUCCUGCCUUUGUCUGCUGGUCUCCUCUGCAUCAGGAGGUGCUGCACCACCCGGCACGGCCUAGGGGUGCUCCAGGCUGUGUGGCAUCAGGAGAUGCCACGGAACACCCCCCAGUGCAGCUGCCUCCUCCUCAAGUGAUAAGUGACUGAAAUAACGGUACAGUUGUCAGAAUUCCAAGGAACAAUAGCAAGAAAUUUGGUCUCACAGGCCUCAGCCUUCUUCUUAGCAGCAAUGCUUAUGUAUAAUGAACAUUAUACGGUGAUAAUAUCUCUGGUGACUGUAACCAAAUUUUCUCAACGGCAACGUGUGUCUCGGAGCAUGCCGAAAUGUGGUUGGCUGUCAAGUGAGUCACUGAUUGAUUCUACUCAGGCAAUUCUGGCAUUCAGCCUUAAAGCAGAUUAGUUCACAAGCUCCCCGGUAUAAGAGCAGGCAAGCAAAUAAUCACCUCUUGUUAAAAUCAUAAAAUUUACACUUUAGGUCAGCUUCUCACAAAUUCUCACUACUUUCUUUCUUUAUUGAUUGACUUGAUGGAUAAAAUGUAUACCCCGCUUCCUAGCCAAGAAAGACCCCACCACUCUCAGGGUGCUACAUGGUAUAUGUACGGGAAUGUGAGUCAAGGUACAUAUUCUUAAAUAAAUAAGUGAACAUUAUGCAAGUGCCUAUUUUUCUGCAUAUACAGUAUGUAUAUAUGGCAAAACUGUAUAAUCUUCACUUGUUAUUAUGUACUCACGUGUAUUUUUUUCCUUUUUAAACCUGCAUAAAGUUAAAGGGACCCCUGACCAUUAGGUCCAGUCGUGACCGACUCUGGGGUUGUGGCACUCAUCUCGCUUUAUUGGCCGAGGGAGCCGGAGUACAGCUUCCGGGUCAUGUGGCCAGCAUGACUAAGCCGCUUCUGGCGAACCACAGCAGCGCACGGAAACGCCGUAUACCUUCCCGCUGGAGCGGUACCUAUUUAUCUACUUGCACUUUGACGUGCUUUCAAACUGGUAGGUUGGCAGGAGCAGGGAGCGAGCAAACGGAGCUCACCCCAUCGCGGGGAUUCGAACCGCCGACCUUCUGAUCAGCAAGUCCUAGGAUCUGUGGUUUAACCCACAGCGCCACUGGCAUCCCUUUUUAAACCUGCAUAGAGGGAAGCAAAAAGAGUGAAACUUACAAGUUCUUCCUACAGCUGUAUGUGCCUGUGCACAUCUGUACAGAAAUGACAUUGCAUGUUUCAUUCUCUCACUGAUGGUAGCAGAGUGUAUUUUGGAAGUAUCAGUGGAAAACGAGCUUCCAGGCAUCAUGCAUUUUAAUGAAUUUCCCAUCCUUGCAAUCCCUGAUGUAAAGAAGGGAUUGUUUUGUCUUCACACAGGGCCACGGAAGUGUGUCUACAUCGGCUCCUGCUCUGAUGCAACAGGGACAAGAAGGAUGUGCAGCAAGACACGAGCCCAAACCUUUGUUAGGCAAGAAUGAUGCUCACACUAUUACCAAGGGCUCACACCACUUCUCCAGCCAUGCAAACUGCCAUCAAGCAAUUAUAGCAGGAGUUACUCUGGUUUGCAGGUGGUUUGUUGUUGUUUUUUAGUAUGUAAGAUUUUAUUAAAACACUACAAUUAAA